RNAcentral lists this ribosomal RNA (1375 nucleotides) under Schmidtea mediterranea. Its description in RNAcentral is "bacterial SSU rRNA". The stretch from base 679 to 1375 matches the Rfam family "Eukaryotic small subunit ribosomal RNA", at positions 1117 to 1823 of the family's 1831-position model. Lineage: Eukaryota; Metazoa; Platyhelminthes; Tricladida; Dugesiidae. The record is from RNAcentral.
GAUAUUUUUAUUAAUAUUGUAUUAUUAUUAAUUAUACGGUAUGUUUAAAUUUUUAUUAAAAAUUAAUUCUUUUGUAAUUUGAGAUUGAAUAGAAUAUUAAAGACAAAUAACCAAAUAUAAAAUAAAUUGAGAAAAAGAUAAUAAAAAAUGAAAUUACUUCUUCACAAAUAAUUAUUAAAUAAUCAGUUUUUUUAUUAUUUUUUAUUAUUAUUAAUGUUAUAAUUAUUAUCAAUAUAUGUCAUAAGUCACUUAACAAGCAUUGAAAUAUGUACAUAUGAUUGAACCCGUGAAAAUGGUGUCCUAUCACGUAUCAUUGAACCGAUCACUUAUAGUGUGAGUUACACAUUAAAGGGGGUUUUAGUUCAGUGGGAUCACAUCUGCCUACCUCAGUUAAUUUUAAAAAUUAUAAAAUUUAUUACACUAUAUUUUUCAUAUUUUGAAUAAAUUUAUAAUAAAUGGUUUAUUAAUUAAGUAUUUAUAAAUUAAUAAGCAUUUAAAUACUCAAAUAUUUUUCAGCUAUAAUUAUUAUUCCUGUUAAUUUUAUUGCAAGUAGUUUUAUUAAAUCAAUUGUGUAAAAUUGUUGACAUAGUUGAAUUUGACAGGAAAAACUUUAUUUUUCUGUUAUUAUUUUUCCUAAGUUUGUCAUGCGUGAAUGGCGAGGAACCGAUAUCAGUUUGUGGGGUAGAAAAUCCAUUUAGAUUAUCAGAUAAUAAAUGCUCAAAUUUUACGGAUGUUUGCAUGANACAAGGAGUGGAGCCUGCGGCUUAAUUUGACUCAACACGGGAAAUCUCACCCGGUCCGGACACUGUGAGGAUUGACAGAUUGAUAGCUCUUUCUUGAUUCGGUGGGUGGUGGUGCAUGGCCGUUCUUAGUUGGUGGAGCGAUUUGUCAGGUUAAUUCCGAUAACGAACGAGACUCUGACUUACUAAAUAGUGAAUUUAUAUUCAAUUGUAAAUUCUCACUUCUUAGAAGAAUAAAUAGCGUUUAGCUAUAUGAAAUAGAGCAAUAACAGGUCUGUGAUGCCCUUAGAUGUCCGGGGCCGCACGCGCGCUACAAUGGCAGUACUAACAAGUUUUCCUAACUAGAAAUAGUCGGGUAAUUUCUUGAAACACUGUCGUAUCAGGGAUUGUGAAUUGAAAUUAUUUCACAUGAACGAUGAAUUCCUAGUAAGCGCAAGUCACUAGCUUGCGCUGAUUACGUCCCUGUCCUUUGUACACACCACCCGUCGCUACUACCGAUUGAAUGGUUUAGUGAGAUUGUUGGAUUCGGAUCUAAGAAAUGGAAACAUUUUUAUGAAUGGGAAAAGACACUCAAACUUGAUCAUUUAGAGGAAGUAAAAGUCGUAACAAGGCUUCCGUAGAUGAACCUGCGGCAG